UGGGGAAUAACGCAUCGAAAGAUGUGCUAAUACCGCAUAUUCUCUGAGGAGGAAAGUAGGGGAUCGCAAGACCUUACGCUUUUGGAGUGGCCGAUGUCUGAUUAGCUAGUUGGUAAGGUAAAGGCUUACCAAGGCGACGAUCAGUAGUUGGUCUGAGAGGACGACCAGCCACACUGGGACUGAGACACGGCCCAGACUCCUACGGGAGGCAGCAGUGGGGAAUUUUGGACAAUGGGCGAAAGCCUGAUCCAGCAAUGCCGCGUGAGUGAAGAAGGCCUUCGGGUUGUAAAGCUCUUUCAGUUGAGAAGAAAAAGUUACGACUAAUAAUCGUGAUUCAUGACGGUAUCAACAGAAGAAGCACCGGCUAACUACGUGCCAGCAGCCGCGGUAAUACGUAGGGUGCAAGCGUUAAUCGGAAUUACUGGGCGUAAAGGGUGCGCAGGCGGUUCUGUAAGUCAGAUGUGAAAUCCCCGGGCUUAACCUGGGAAUUGCGUUUGAAGCUGCGGGGCUAGAGUGUGGCAGAGGGGGGUGGAAUUCCAUGUGUAGCAGUGAAAUGCGUAGAGAUAUGGAGGAACAUCGAUGGCGAAGGCAGCCCCCUGGGUUAACACUGACGCUCAUACACGAAAGCGUGGGUAGCAAACAGGAUUAGAUACCCUGGUAGUCCACGCCCUAAACUAUGUCAACUAGUUGUCGGGUCUUAAUAGGCUUGGUAACGUAGCUAACGCGUGAAGUUGACCGCCUGGGGAGUACGGUCGCAAGAUUAAAACUCAAAGGAAUUGACGGGGACCCGCACAAGCGGUGGAUUAUGUGGAUUAAUUCGAUGCAACGCGAAAAACCUUACCUACCCUUGACAUGUCAGGAACUUUUCAGAGAUGGCUUGGUGCCCGAAAGGGAGCCUGAACACAGGUGCUGCAUGGCUGUCGUCAGCUCGUGUCGUGAGAUGUUGGGUUAAGUCCCGCAACGAGCGCAACCCUUGUUGUUAAUUGCCAUCAUUUAGUUGGGCACUUUAAUGAGACUGCCGGUGAUAAACCGGAGGAAGGUGGGGAUGACGUCAAGUCCUCAUGGCCCUUAUGGGUAGGGCUUCACACGUAAUACAAUGGCGCGUACAGAGGGUUGCCAACCCGCGAGGGAGAGCUAAUCUCAGAAAGCGCGUCGUAGUCCGGAUCGGAGUCU
This 1173-nucleotide ribosomal RNA is filed under the name uncultured bacterium. Its description in RNAcentral is "bacterial SSU rRNA". It matches the Rfam family "Bacterial small subunit ribosomal RNA", at positions 137 to 1306 of the family's 1533-position model. The record is from RNAcentral.